RNAcentral lists this ribosomal RNA (782 nucleotides) under uncultured bacterium. RNAcentral describes it as "bacterial SSU rRNA". It matches the Rfam family "Bacterial small subunit ribosomal RNA", at positions 8 to 796 of the family's 1533-position model. The record is from RNAcentral.
AGAGUUUGAUCAUGGCUCAGGACGAACGCUUGCGGCGUGCCUAAGAAAUGCAAGUCGAACGGACACUGGGGCAACCCGGUGUCAGUGGCGAACGGUCGCGUAACACGUAGGCAACCUGCCCCGAAGUGGGGGAUAACAGCCCGAAAGGGUUGCUAAUACCGCAUGUGGCCAACAGAUCGCAUGGUUUGUUGUCCAAAGGCUCUCAGCAAUGGGGGUCGCUUCGGGAUGGGCUUGCGGCCUAUCAGGUAGUUGGUGGGGUAACGGCCUACCAAGCCGUUGACGGGUAGCUGGUCUGAGAGGAUGUCCAGCCGGAUUGGGGCUGAGAUACGGCCCAGACUCCUACGGGGGGCAGCAAUUAGGAAUCUUGCGCAAUGGGCGAAAGCCUGACGCAGCGACGCCGCAUGGGGGAGGAAGGGCUUCGGGUCGUAAACCCCUUUUAACGGGGAAGAAGAAUGUGACGGUACCCGUUGAAUAAGCCCCGGCUAACUACGUGCCAGCAGCCGCGGUAAUACGUAGGGUGCAAGCGUUGUCCGGAAUUAUUGGGCGUAAAGAGCUCGUAGGCGGUGUGUCGCGUCUGCUGUGAAAACUCAGGGCUCAACUCUGAGCUUGCAGUGGGUACGGGCAGGCUAGAGUUCGGUAGGGGAGACUGGAAUUCCUGGUGUAGCGGUGAAAUGCGCAGAUAUCAGGAGGAACACCGGUGGCGAAGGCGGGUCUCUGGGCCGAUACUGACGCUGAGGAGCGAAAGCGUGGGGAGCGAACAGGAUUAGAUACCCCAGUAGUCC